ACGGGGCGCAGAGGCGCGAAAACUUUACAAUGCUGGCAACAGCGAUAAGGGAACCUCGAGUGCCAGGUUACAAAUCUGGCUGUCGAGAUGCCUAUAAAGCAUUUCAUAGCAAGGGCCGGGCAAGACCGGUGCCAGCCGCCGCGGUAACACCGGCGGCUCGAGUGGUAACCGUUAUUAUUGGGUCUAAAGGGUCUGUAGCCGGCCGGAUAAGUCUCUUGAGAAAUCUGGCAGCUUAACUGUCAGGCUUUCAGGAGAUACUGUCUGGCUCGAGGCCGGGAGAGGUGAGAGGUACUUCAGGGGUAGGGGUGAAAUCUUGUAAUCCUUGAAGGACCACCAGUGGCGAAGGCGUCUCACCAGAACGGACCUGACGGCAAGGGACGAAAGCUAGGGGCACGAACCGGAUUAGAUACCCGGGUAGUCCUAGCCGUAAACGAUACUCGCUAGGUGUCGGCCACGGUGCGACCGUUGUCGGUGCCGUAGGGAAGCCGUGAAGCGAGCCACCUGGGAAGUACGGCCGCAAGGCUGAAACUUAAAGGAAUUGGCGGGGGAGCACCACAACGGGUGGAGCUUGCGGUUUAAUUGGAUUCAACGCCGGAAAUCUUACCGGGACCGACAGCAAUAUGAAGGCCAGGCUGAAGACUUUGCCGGAUUAGCUGAGAGGUGGUGCAUGGCCGUCGUCAGUUCGUACUGUGAAGCAUCCUGUUAAGUCAGGCAACGAGCGAGACCCACGCCCACAGUUGCCAGCGUACUCUCCGGAGUGACGGGUACACUGUGGGGACCGCCGCUGCUAAAGCGGAGGAAGGAAUGGGCAACGGUAGGUCAGUAUGCCCCGAAUAUCCCGGGCUACACGCGAGCUACAAUGGUUGGUACAAUGGGUAUCUACCCCGAAAGGGGACGGAAAUCUCCUAAAACCAAUCUUAGUUCGGAUUGAGGGCUGCAACUCGCCCUCAUGAAGCUGGAAUCCGUAGUAAUCGCGUUUCAACAGAACGCGGUGAAUACGUCCCUGCUCCUUGUACACACCGCCCGUCA
This 1029-nucleotide ribosomal RNA is filed under the name uncultured Methanosarcina sp. Its description in RNAcentral is "bacterial SSU rRNA". It matches the Rfam family "Archaeal small subunit ribosomal RNA", at positions 325 to 1355 of the family's 1478-position model. Lineage: Archaea; Methanobacteriati; Methanobacteriota; Methanomicrobia; Methanosarcinales; Methanosarcinaceae. The record is from RNAcentral.